This 460-nucleotide ribosomal RNA is filed under the name uncultured bacterium. RNAcentral describes it as "partial 16S ribosomal RNA". It matches the Rfam family "Bacterial small subunit ribosomal RNA", at positions 338 to 795 of the family's 1533-position model. The record is from RNAcentral.
CCUACGGGUGGCUGCAGUGAGGAAUAUUGGUCAAUGGGCGAGAGCCUGAACCAGCCACGUCGCGUGAAGGAUGAAGGAUCUAUGGUCUGUAAACUCCUUUUAUAUGGGAGUAAAGUGCGGAACGUGUUCCUUUUUCUAUGUAUCACAUCAUUAAGCAUCGGCUAAUUCCGCGUCAGCAGCCGCGGUAAUACGGAGGAUGCGAGCGUUAUCCGGAUUUAUUGGGUUUAAAGGGUGCGUAGGUGGUUAAUUAAGUCAGCGGUGAAAGUUUGUGGCUCAACCAUAAAAUUGCCGUUGAAACUGGUUGACUUGAGUAUAGUUGGGGUAGGCGGAAUGCGUGGUGUAGCGGUGAAAUGCGUAGAUAUCACGCAGAACUCCGAUGGCGAAGGCAGCUUACUAAACUAUAACUGACACUGAAGCACGAAAGCGUGGGGAGCAAACAGGAUUAGAUACCCCUGUAGUC